Molecule: long non-coding RNA, 3972 nt
Filed under: Sus scrofa (pig)
Lineage: Eukaryota; Metazoa; Chordata; Mammalia; Artiodactyla; Suidae
Description: lncRNA (ENSSSCG00000059748.1)
Source: RNAcentral
CAAAGUAAUUGAACCUACUCUUCUGCCCCAUUCAUUUAUAUUUUUCUUAUUUCAAAAUGUGAAAAGGAUACGUGUAUACAAAAGCAUAGAUUCUGUAAGAUUAUGCAUAAUGUAGCAAUCUGACAAUUACUUUGGAUAUUAGCUAUUUAAGCUUGUCUAAACUGAAUAGUCAUGCCACGGCUAGGCUUAGGUUUUUGCUCCUAAGAAUAUCUUCAGCAGUUUUUGCAGGAGGUUCAAUUUAGUAAUAAGUAUCUCUAUAACUGAGAGUUCUAAAUAAUUUUUUUUUUCCUUUUAGGGCCACACCUGCGGCAUAUGGAGGUUCCCAGGCUAGAGGUUCAAUCAGAGCUGUAGCCACCAGCUACAUCAAAGCCACAGUAAAGAUCCCAGCCACAUCUGCAACCUACACCACAGUUCACGGCAACACCAGAUCCUUAACCCAUGGAGCGAGGACAGGGAUCGAACCCGCAACCUCGAGGUUCCUAGUCAGAUUGGUUUUCUGCUGAGCCACGCAUGAUGGGAACCCCUAAAUAAAUUUUAAAAGAGGAAUUAUUACCUACCCACACUUACUGGAAAAGUAAGUCAAAUUAUCCUGGCUUAUUUAACAGUCAAGUAACUUGGUAUUUCCCAGUUAGUUUUUAAGAAUCAUCAACUGUUCCUCAAAUAUAUAUUCUGUGCUUCACAGUGUACAGUCAGUUGUAGACCCUCAAUGCGAAGUAUAAUGAUCAUUUCUCUCUGAGUAAAUAAGAUUGAUUCAUAGAGAAUUUAAAUUUGAGACGUGAGUAUAUUUGACUCCCUAAACUUAUAUGAUACGAAACAUUGCAAUGCUUUGAACACUUCAUUCAGUUACAUAUUUGGAAGCCUGUUGAGUUGUGGAUUCUCCUGUACACGAAUGACAAGUAUCUCAUAUAAUUCAAGUGCAAUAACUUGGGCCAAGUAAAUAAGUUCCAAAUUACAUGGGGAAAAAAAAGGCAACAGAAGCCAAUAAACAACAGUGGCCCAUCAUUGCCCAGGGCCUACUUUAACAGCUUAAACAUCUUGAAAGUUCUUCUGCCAUCUGCUCAACCCUGAACGGAUGAUGCUUUAGCUGAAGGAGUUCAGUUUGUAUUUUUGCCAUGUGAACUGCCUGGGCUCACUCUUUUCAUGACUUAGACGGUUUAUUUAUUUAUUUUUGCUUUCUUAUUUAACUUGGCAAUAAAAGGAAAGUUUAUGGUUUUCUUAGACACAGCAGAACUCUUUUCAGCUAUAUGUAGACAAAGGAGACUAGGAUAAAAAUCCACUUUCUUCUUCCUUCAGAGCUCACUGAUAUUUGUGGAGUAUUUAAAGUAUCUUUUCAGGGCUGUUGCUCAACCUCCAAAGCUGUUAAUUCCCUUCCAGCUGCUACUGAAAUGUAUGUGUUUGGUGAUAGCAAGUCUGAAAGGACAAUUUCUGUGCAUAUACAUUGGCGCAUGCCCUGCAAAAAGACCUAAAAAUGACUAAUUUUUGAAACUCUUAUAAUGAAUAAAGUGACAUGGCCCCAUUACAGAAACACCUGAAGGAACCUUGACCUGAGUCCUUCACCAAUAAUAUGCCUUCAUGUACAGAAGAAAGCUAAAAAUGAAAAUACAGAUUAAUCAUAAACAUAGAGCAAAAAACAAAAGCAAAUAAAAAGUAAGCAUAAACAUAGCUCCUCUCCUUGCCUUGAGCCAGGUAGGACGUUAUCACUAUUUCUUUGAUAAAUAACUGAAUUCUGAAUAACAGUAUUUAAGCAGCCUGCUCCGAGGAAAUGGAGUUGACAACAAAAUAACAGCAUAUAGUUUUUAAGCUUUGACACUGACAAACUGCCUUCGCCUACAUUCUGUCAUCGUUUUGUCUGACCAGCCAAUGAUUCCACACCCGCUUUAAAGAUGGUCACCAUGCAAUCAGCUUUCGCAAUAGGAAGACUCCACUGAGCAGUUUGUAACUCAUUUCCAAAUUGACUUUGGUGCUUGCGUAAGGAUAUAGUUCUGUGCUUUUUUUUGUCAACAAAGCUUCCUAAGCAAGGUUAUUCCAAAAAUAAUUUGGGCAAUGGGAAAAGUAAAAUAAACUUCUGUGGAUUUAGGUUCUGUUUCCCUUUUCUGUCCUAAAUGAUGUGUUUCCCUAGUCUUUGACUCUGCUUCAUAUUUGCAUGAUUAACACUGGCCACGGAUAAAACUGGACCUCAGGAUUCAUUGUCUAAUUAUGUGGUUUGCCCCCUAGGAUUUGGGUUUAAAUCUUACACAACAAACUGAAAACUAAAAAUUUUAAUGAUGCCUUUGUUUCCUUUAAACAAAGGAUUGCUGUUUAAUUGAAUUAAAUGUCUUCUAAAGACUCAGUGUAACUCUCUUAAGUCUAUGAACCUUCUCAAGUCUCGAAAUCAUAUUUUAGAAAGUUUAUCAAAUUGCUUCCACCAUUUUAUUUAUUUAUUUAUUUAUUUUCUUUUUUCUUUUUAGGGCUGCUCCUGCAGCGUAUGGAGGUUCCCAGGUGAGGGGUCCAAUCGGAGCUACAGCUGCCUGCCUACACCACAGCCACAGCAAUGCCAGAUCUGAGCCAUGUCUUCAAACUACACCACAGCUCACGGCAAGGCCGGAUCCUUAACCCACUGAGCGAGGCCAGGGAUCGAACCCUCAACCUCAUGGUUCCUAGCUGGAUUUGUUUCCACUGCGCCACGACGGGAACUCCCUUAUUUAUUUAUUUAUUUAUUUAUUUAUUUAUUUAUUUAUUUAUUUAUUGGGUCCAUUCUUGAAUCAUGCCAACAGGUAUUUAAAUGAGCAGAUUCUUAACCCACUGAGCGAGGCCAGGGAUCGAACCUGCAAUGUCAUGGUGACUAGCUGGAUUCAUUUACGCUGUGCCACAACGCAGUGCUUGUUCAACAAUUUUAAAACCUUAACUUUUUGACGUACCUGAAAUGCAAGCAUGGUAUAUAUAUUAUUUCUGUUAUCUCUGCACAAAAUACCAAGCUAUUGAGAAGGGAUUUUUAUCUUGGUGUAAACAGCUCAUCAAGUUUCUCCUACAGAACUGAGCGAUAGAGCAAUCCAGUUUCCUUUCUCUGCCAGUGUCACAGAUGGCAGCCAAGUGGUUCGAUUGAAAAUCUGAUGCUUCUACGUUUGCACAGCCAAAGAGGGUCUUCAAAAAAUGAAUUGUAAUUCCCACUGUUCUCCACACAAAAUGGAAGAUUAUGUCCAGAGUUGGGUUUUUGUCCUUGUUGUUGUUGCUUCAUUUCUUUAAACGUCAUCAGAACUACCUACCACUUAGAUCUAGCCUUGGUCAUUUGGAAGAGAGAGUUUAGUUGUGUUUUUCUCAUCAGUCUGGUUUUGUAAAAAUCGCACUUCUGUUAAACUAGUGGAAAAAAACUCUGCUUUUUACCAUGGGUGUUCAUGGACUUCAUUUCAUCAAAAGUAGUGCUGUUCAUUGUGCCCCGAAGAGUGUUAUACUGAUCUCACGGUCAACACUAAUUGAAAUGUAUACAAGUAGCAAAUGUGUAGAACUAAUGAUUUAGUUAUUUUCUUCACUGGGUAGCACAAAUAGUUAUUGUAACUCUGUGUCAUGUAUUUUUCAAAGUCUGUAACUUGCUGUUUUGUACCUGUGCUUGGGACUUGUUACUCAUCUGAAGCAGCAAUUUGAGACUUGUUGAAAAUUGUGAAGACUAAACGGCCUCAAAACGUUGUGUAUACUUUCUAUAAAUACUUGUUUUCAUCGGCUGAAUCUUGUACUUCUUCCCCAAAGGGAAAAAAAAAAAAGCUGUCAUUUGUCUUAAGCCUAACUGGAGAGGUGAUCCGUGAGAGAACUUUAUGAACUGAAAUGGGAAGACGAUAUCCAUUCUGUUAUUUCUAUUCUUUCGCUUUAAAUCGUGUGGGCAUAUAAGUCAAAACAUUCCUAUCUGAAAGUAAAAUUGAUGGGUCAUAUAACCGGAAAUGGCUAGUACGUUUUAUGCAAUUAAAUGUUUUAUGCAAUUAAAAGGAAAAAUCGAUCCCAAAU